RNAcentral lists this ribosomal RNA (262 nucleotides) under uncultured archaeon. Its description in RNAcentral is "partial 16S ribosomal RNA". It matches the Rfam family "Archaeal small subunit ribosomal RNA", at positions 748 to 1009 of the family's 1478-position model. The record is from RNAcentral.
CAGCCGUAAACAAUGUGCGUUAGGUGUGUCGGUAACCACGCGUUACUGAUGCGCCGAAGAGAAAUCGUGAAACGCACCACCUGGGAAGUACGGUCGCAAGGCUGAAACUUAAAGGAAUUGGCGGGGGAGCAUCACAACAGGUGGAGCCUGCGGUUUAAUUGGAUUCAACGCCGGACAUCUCACCGGAUAAGACAGCUGAAUGAUUGUCAAUCUGAAGGUUUUACAUGACUAGCUGAGAGGUGGUGCAUGGGCGUCAGUGACU